UACGUAGGGUGCGAGCGUUGUCCGGAAUUAUUGGGCGUAAAGAGCUUGUAGGCGGUUUGUCGCGUCUGCUGUGAAAUUUCGGGGCUCAACCCCGAACUUGCAGUGGGUACGGGCAGACUAGAGUGUGGUAGGGGAGACUGGAAUUCCUGGUGUAGCGGUGAAAUGCGCAGAUAUCAGGAGGAACACCGAUGGCGAAGGCAGGUCUCUGGGCCACUACUGACGCUGAGGAGCGAAAGCAUGGGGAGCGAACAGG
RNAcentral lists this ribosomal RNA (253 nucleotides) under uncultured bacterium. Its description in RNAcentral is "partial 16S ribosomal RNA". It matches the Rfam family "Bacterial small subunit ribosomal RNA", at positions 524 to 776 of the family's 1533-position model. The record is from RNAcentral.